AUACGUAGGGAGCGAGCGUUGUCCGGAAUUACUGGGUGUUAAGGGUGCGUAGGCGGGACUGCAAGUCAGAUGUGAAAUGCCGGGGCUCAACCCCGGAGCUGCAUUUGAAACUGUGGUUCUUGAGUGAGGUAGAGGUAAGCGGAAUUCCUAGUGUAGCGGUGAAAUGCGUAGAUAUUAGGAGGAACAUCGGUGGCGAAGGCGGCUUACUGGGCCUUUACUGACGCUGAGGCACGAAAGCGUGGGGAGCAAACAGGAUUAGAUACCCUGGUAGUCCACGCUGUAAACGAUGAUGACUAGGUGUGGGGGGACUGAACCCUUCCGUGCCGCAGUUAACACAAUAAGUCAUCCACCUGGGGAGUACGGCCGCAAGGUUGAAACUCAAAUGAAUUGACGGGG
RNAcentral lists this ribosomal RNA (396 nucleotides) under uncultured bacterium. RNAcentral's name for it is "partial 16S ribosomal RNA". It matches the Rfam family "Bacterial small subunit ribosomal RNA", at positions 523 to 918 of the family's 1533-position model. The record is from RNAcentral.